Molecule: long non-coding RNA, 764 nt
Organism: Sinocyclocheilus rhinocerous
Lineage: Eukaryota; Metazoa; Chordata; Actinopteri; Cypriniformes; Cyprinidae
Exons: 3
Source: RefSeq, a predicted model, not a curated record
UCCUGUAACUCUGUGACACUUGUGUAUGAAUUGUUUCCAGCGAAUAAUGUUGCAGUUUUAACCUUCAUGUUAAUUUGUAACACCGAGCGAGCGAGCGGCGCGACAAAGUAUCAGUUGAUGAACGAUGCUUGUUACACGCUCGCGCGCGAUUGGGGGCGCUGCUCUUUUGUCUUCUUUUUUUUGGUUUAAUAAUCUGGCUUGCGAAACAAACCCUAAAACCCGACUCGAUUCCAGGGCGCCAUCUUGAGUACAGAACUCGCAGAAAUAAAUCACCCCGUACCUAAACGACACUGGAAUUGCAAAAAAACACUCAAAGGGUCAGAUUGUUUUUCCUCGUUAAAACUAAACUAAUAAAGACGCACACAUAAGUUGUAGCGGAAUACUCUCAAGUCAACGUUUCCUAUGGUGCUGUCGACAUUUAUCAUGAAUACCUUCAUGUUUGGCUCUCAGUUCUCAGCGCUGAUUGGUCUAUCUAGGCAUCAGUCAAGCUUAAGCCACUCCCCUUAACCCAUUCAGUCGCUUGCUGUAUUGUUCCUCCGUGUUGUUUACUGCUGUGUUUAGUGUAGCGAGCCGAGCACGUAUAUGCGGAGAUCUCUUCGAAAGCAGUUGUUUUUCCCCUUGUGUUUCGCAGAGUCUCUUUAGGAAUCCAACAUGCCUAAAAGAAAGAAUGCAGAGAGGGAUGCCAAGGAUGAGCCUCAGAGGAGAUCUGCACGGUUAUCAGCAGUACGUAUGUUGCCAUUUUCAGAUUGUGUGUGUGUGUGUGA